CUCCUCUCCCCUCCUCUCCCUCCACAGUCAACACGGCAAAAAUAGAGAGUUUACAGAGCAAGCUCUCUCCUCUCUCCUGACUGGUUCACUCGCCUCAUCUAACUAACGCAUCCUUGGGGAAACACACUUUUAAGCACACACACACACACACACACGUUGAAGCUCCGCUCAGCAGCAGCAGGGAGUGAACAGCCAGCUCUCGGUUUAUCCCCGCCAUUCCCCGGUACAGUAACUUCCUCAGCAUCUCCCGGCCUCUGCAGAGAGAGAGAGAGAGAGAGAGAGAGAGAGAGAGAGACCACCGCCCGACAACCCAACUGGAAACCGGCCCCGCCGCUCUAUAGUAACGGACUGACCGACCGAAUAUAAACCCGGAGAAGGGAAGAGGUCUAUCUAGUGCUCAACAUCCCGUUAUCGCCGGUAGAAUAUACUUCAGACUGCGGAUUUAAGCCGUCACAUUGGCCAGUUGUCCAUUUGGACGGAGAGAGAGAGAGAGAACCGGUAGUGCGCAGUGUGAGAACACAACAGAAACCACUUGACGCCGAAAAAGUCCCGGGCACUUUCCCCCCGGUAUUUUAGGAAACAGAAGGGACGCGUCUCACUUUACCGAAAUACCGACGCCGGUUAGCCUAAAACGGAGCCGGUGUGAGCAACAGCUACCACCGGAAGAAAAAAGAAAAAAAAAUCAGUGAGGUAAGCGGUGUUGCCAGGGUAACCUCCCCCAGCCAAUCAGCAGUCAUGGAUGAGAUGGAUCUACCCCAGAUGAAGAAGGAAGUGGAGAGCCUGAAAUACCAACUGGCCUUCAAGAGAGAGAAGUCUUCCAAGACAGUCACUGACAUGGUGAAGUGGAUCGAGGACGGCGUACCCGAGGACCCCUUCCUGAACCCUGAACUCAUGAAGAACAACCCCUGGGUGGAAAAGGGAAAGUGUGUCCUGUUGUAGACUGAUUACCGACCCCUGACCCUGCCGUGACCUCUGACCCCAGCCUGAUGGGGCAUGGCAGGACAGCACCCCCCCCCUGCUAGUUUCAGCCACGUUGAUGCAUCACAGAUUACCUUUAAUUCUAUGUUGAUAUGAUAUGAAGUGUAUUUAUGCAGCCAGUCACUCACUCACUCAGUCAGCCAGUCACUCACUCACUCAGUCAGCCAGUCACUCACUCAGUCACUCACUCACUCACUCACUCAGUCAGCCAGUCACUCACUCAGUCACUCACUCAGUCAUCCAGUCACUCACUCAGUCAGCCAGUCAGCCAGUCACUCAGUCAUCCAGUCACUCACUCACUCAGCCAGUCAGUUAUUCAGCCAGCCAGUCAGUUAGUCAGUCAGCCAGUCAGUCAGUCAGCCAGUCAGUUAGUCAGCCAGUCAGUCAGCCAGCCAGCUAGUCAGCCAGCCAGUCAGUCAGCCAGUCAGCCAGCCAGUCAGUCAGCCAGUCAGCCAGUCAGCCAGUCAGUCAGUCAGUCAGCCAGUCAGUCAGCCAGUCAGUCAGCCAGCCAGUCAGUCAGCCAGUCAGUCAGCCAGUCAGUCAGUCAGCCAGUCAGUCAGUCAGCCAGUCAGUCAGCCAGUCAGUCAGUCAGCCAGUCAGUCAGCCAGUCAGUCAGCCAGUCAGUCAGCCAGCCAGUCAGCGCAACACGGACGGGAACGGACACGGAAACACACACACACAGCACACACACACACACACACACACACACACACACACACACACACACACACACACACACACACACACACACACACACACACACACUGUACAGACGAGCCCCUUUAACUUGUUAUUAAAUUAUUGAUUGUGUUUUUUUUGUUUUAUUUAUGUAUUUAUUGAUAAGCUCCUCCGCACGGCGGCCAUGUUGUGUUGUCUAUCGCCCCACGCUCCCAACAACAACAACUGUACUGGCCAGGGAUAUACCAUACACCAUCGCUCUGGCCCCAACGUACGUGUGUGUGUGUGUGUGUGUGUGUGUGUGUGUGUGUGUGUGUGUGUGUGUGUGUGUGUGUGUGUGUGUGUGUGUGUGUGUGUGUGUGUGUGUGUGUGUGUGUGUGUGUGUGUGUGUGUGUGUGUGUGUGUGUGUGUGUGUGUGUGUGUGUGUGUGUGUCUGUGUGUGUCUGUGUGUGUGUGUGUGUGUGUGUCUGUGUCUGUGUCUGUGUGUGUGUUAGCGUGUGUGUGUGUGUGUGUGUGUGUGUGUGUGUGUGUGUGUGUGUGUGUGUGUGUGUGUGUGUGUGUGUGUGUGUGUGUGUGUGUGUGUGUGUGUGUGUCUGUGUGUCUGUGUGUGUCUGUGUGUGUGUGUGUGUGUGUGUGUGUGUGUGUCUGUGUCUGUGUCUGUGUGUGUGUUAGCGUGUGUGUGUGUGUGUGUGUGUGUGUGUGUGUGUGUGUGUGUGUGUGUGUGUGUGUGUGUGUUAGCGUGUGUGUGUGUGUGUGUGUGUGUGCAGUGCUUAAUUUGAUCCCGUCACCUCUCCGUUUUGAACCGUUUUGUUUCCGGAAUCUAUUUGAUUGGAUCCAGAACCUCUCGUGACAUGAAAAAUAAUUUCCACUUCUUUGCAAUAAAAAAAUAAUAAUAAUAAUUAAAAGUUGUCUCUUCAUUACCUCUCCUGCCCCUAAAGAAAACCGUAAUGUGAAAAAGCUGAUUUUCAGUCCGCGGUUUAAUAUUCUCCGAGUUGAUUUGGGUUGAGACCGGACCAGGUUCUUACGUAACAUUUUAUAAUCUAUAUUUGAGACCGACGCGCGACGGUAAGUUAGAAGUGUAGAAAUGCGUCAUACUAGAACUAGAUUCUCUUCUCUAUGAAUCUAUGCUGUAAGCUGCCCCCCCCCCCCCCCCCCAAAAAAAAUUAUUGAAUCAACUUCUAAAUAUUGUUCUACAAAACAAAACAAAAAAUAGAGAGUCAGAGAUGGAGAUAAGGCUUAUGGAAGGAGCGCGGUCGUCGACAAUCACCAGCGAGUCACUUGUGUUUCAGUGAAACUGGAAAGCAUUUUGUGUUUUUGGUGGCGAUAAUUUCCUCGUAUUGUAGCCUAUAAUAUGUGUCUCCACACACCGAGGCCUCAGGUUAUUGAUGAAUUCAAAACAAGGCCGUUUUUUAAAAUAUAUUGAUCUCUAAUUCUCUAGUUUUGUCAGUGUCAAAGUAGACUGUCGUUUUUUUGAUCAUUUGGUAUUAAAGAAUAUUCUGACCAAAGUCUCCAGUCGUGUAAAAAAACGACGUAGAAUCGCAUUUAAUGCGUUUUUAAAGGGACAACAUUUCCCCCCGGACCCUAGGAUACUGAAAAUGUUCCCCGGACCCUAGGAUACUGAAAAUGUUCCCCGGACCCUAGGAUACUGAAAAUGUUCCCCGGACCCUAGGAUACUGAAAAUGUUCCCCGGACCCUAGGAUACUGAAAAUGUUCCCCGGACCCUAGGCUUCUGAAAAUGUCCCCCUGGACCCUAGACUACUGAAAAUGUUCCCUGGACCCUAGGAUACUGAAAAUGUUCCCAGGACCCUAGACUACUGAAAAUGUUCCCCGGACCCUAGGCUACUGAAAAUGUUCCCUGGACCCUAGGAUACUGAAAAUGUUCCCCGGACCCUAGGAUACUGAAAAUGUUCCCCGGACCCUAGGAUACUGAAAAUGUUCCCCGGACCCUAGGCUUCUGAAAAUGUCCCCCUGGACCCUAGACUACUGAAAAUGUUCCCUGGACCCUAGGAUACUGAAAAUGUUCCCAGGACCCUAGACUACUGAAAAUGUUCCCCGGACCCUAGGCUACUGAAAAUGUUCCCCGGACCCUAGACUACUGAAAAUGUUCCCAGGACCCUAGGCUACUGAAAAUGUCCCCAGACCCUAGGGUACUGAAAAUGUUCCCUGGACCCUAGGCUACUGAAAAUGUUCCCCGAACCCUAGGCUACUGAAAAUGUUACCCGAACCCUAGGCUACUGAAAACGUUCCUCAUGUGUGCACCUUGUGUAGGUGCCUCUACUAUACGAUUUGAUUUGAUUUGAUAUACUGCUCUAUGCCGCUACGCUAAUGUGAGGAUAUGAAUGCUUUAUUAUAAAAUUAGAAUUUUCUUUUUUUCACCUCCCGAUUUACAAAUUAAGCACUGUGUGUGUGUGUGUGUGUGUGUGUGUGUGUGUGUGUGUGUGUGUGUGUUGUGUGUUGUGUGUUGUGUGUUGUGUGUUUUGUGUGUGUGUGUGUGUGUGUGUGUGUGUGUUAGUAUGGAUGAAAGGUAGAUGGUCCUUGAAGAUCUUUAGUGUUUAGGAACAACUUCAUGCUAUGAAAAAAAGGGUGAAAGGUUUGGGCGGAAUAGAAGCAUCGGUCGUCUAUUAUUUACGUUACUAUGACAACGGUGGACCGGACCGGGUCUGUCUAUGUACCCAUUUGUUUGAAUUACCACAGCUAGAACCCGUGGAACCGUCUAGACGUGCCACAGCUAGAACCCGUGGGAACCGUCUAGACGUGCCACAGCUAGAACCUGUGGGAACCGUCUAGACGUGCCACAGCUAGAACCCGUGGAACCUCUGAGACGUGCCGCAGAUAGAACCCGUAGAACAGUCUAGACGUGCCGCAGAUAGAACCCG
This 4532-nucleotide long non-coding RNA is filed under the name Salmo salar (Atlantic salmon). Its description in RNAcentral is "lncRNA (ENSSSAG00000092414.1, ENSSSAG00000117854.1)". Lineage: Eukaryota; Metazoa; Chordata; Actinopteri; Salmoniformes; Salmonidae. The record is from RNAcentral.